CUGGUGGUUACAGUGUUCCCCGUGUCAAGGUGAAGUAGGGGCCUGGUGGUUACAGUGUUCCCUGUGUCAUGGUGAAGUGGGGGCCUGGUGGUUACAGUGUUCCCCGUGUCAUGGUGAAGUGGGGGCAUGGUGGUUACAGUGUUCCCUGUGUCAUGGUGAAGUGGGAGCCUGGUGGUUACAGUGUUCCCUGUGUCAAGGUGAAGUGGGAGCCUGGUGGUUGCAGUGUUCCCUGUGUCAAGGUGAAGUGGGGGCCUGGUGGUUGCAGUGUUCCCCGUGUCAAGGUGAAGUGGGAGCCUGGUGGUUGCAGUGUUCCCUGUGUCAAGGUGAAGUAGGGGCCUGGUGGUUACAGUGUUCCCCGUGUCAAGGUGAAGUAGGGGCCUGGUGGUUACAGUGUUCCCUGUGUCAAGGUGAAGUGGGGGCCUGGUGGUUACAGUGUUCCCUGUGUCAAGGUGAAGUGGGGGCCUGGUGGUUACAGUGUUCCCGUGUCAAGGUGAAGUAGGGGCCCUGGUGGUUACAGUGUUCUCUGUGUCACGGUGAAGUGGGGCCUGGUGGUUACAGUGUUCCCUGUGUCAAGGUGAAGUAGGGGCCUGGUGGUUACAGUGUUCCCUGUGUCAAGGUGAAGUGGGAGCCUGGUGGUUACAGUGUUCCCUGUGUCAAAGUGAAGUAGGGGCCCUGGUGGUUACAGUGUUCUCUGUGUCACGGUGAAGUAGGGGCCUGGUGGUUACAGUGUUCCCCGUGUCAAAGAAGAUCACAGUUCAGUUCUCAUUACAUUAUUAAAUUUCCAGAUCUGAACAAAUAUUUGCAAAUACAGAAUUACAGCUGAUCGUUCACUGUCCUUCGUGUCACCUCCUGUUGGAGGACGAUAGUAUUUAUGUGCAGACCUACAGCAAUUCCAGGGUAGGAAACACUGCACAGUUCUUUAUCCAUCGUAAUGAGAUGUACACUGGACACAAAACAUACACACAAUAUACUUGAGUUGUGUGUCUGUUUUUGUUUAUCACCAGCUGUCACUCACAGGACUCAGUCCAGCAACCUAUGUGCCCUAUGAAAACAAAUGUGCAAUAUGUAAGUCAGAACCAAAAGUGCAUUCAGAUUGUAGGAGAUUUCUUCAUUUUCGUUUUUAGCUCACUUCACGAGAAGUCACGUGAGCUUAUGUUGUGGUGCUGUGGCGUCGGUAUAUAUAUUAGACGUUUAAGAAAUUGCUAUGAUCUGAGUUGAGGUUAACCUCGACAAUCUGUACACAACUUUCCAUAGUUUCUUGGGGGUUUUGAAACUGAGAGUUUGUCUCUCAGAAAUUUCGUGCCAUUGUGGAAUUAUUUGGCACAAUUCUUGGUCAGUGCUGAAUUUGACAUUUUAAACACUGUGUUUUCAGGCACAUUUUACAUAUAUUUGCAUAUAUUUGCCUAUAUUAUAACAUUUCAUUGUACACAGGUAAGGCAGAGAGCCUUGUGGACCCUACCUUUACAUUGAUUGUGGCACAUGAAGCCUAUAUAUGUUAUACACCAUGCACAACUGGAUUGUUAGUGGUUUUAUUUUUUACACUUUGUCUAGUCUGUGUUUAUUGUACUGAAACAGACAGUAACAUUUAUACACAAACCGCCCUCACUGGUCAAGCCUUGUUCACAUCUUUUUUAUUUUGGUCUGUAUUGUUACCCUGUUUUUGCAAUUAAAUCAUUAGAUAUA
This 1683-nucleotide long non-coding RNA is filed under the name Haliotis rubra (blacklip abalone). RNAcentral describes it as "uncharacterized LOC124263674, transcript variant X2". The record is from RNAcentral. Lineage: Eukaryota; Metazoa; Mollusca; Gastropoda; Lepetellida; Haliotidae.